Molecule: ribosomal RNA, 699 nt
Filed under: uncultured Pseudomonas sp.
Lineage: Bacteria; Pseudomonadati; Pseudomonadota; Gammaproteobacteria; Pseudomonadales; Pseudomonadaceae
Description: bacterial SSU rRNA
Rfam family: Bacterial small subunit ribosomal RNA
Source: RNAcentral
GGAACGCUAAUACCGCAUACGUCCUACGGGAGAAAGCAGGGGACCUUCGGGCCUUGCGCUAUCAGAUGAGCCUAGGUCGAAAUAGCUAGUUGGUGGGGUAAUGGCUCACCAAGGCGACGAUCCGUAACUGGUCUGAGAGGGUGAUCAGUCACACUGGAACUGAGACACGGUCCAGACUCCUACGGGAGGCAGCAGUGGGGAAUAUUGGACAAUGGGCGAAAGCCUGAUCCAGCCAUGCCGCGUGUGUGAAGAAGGUCUUCGGAUUGUAAAGCACUUUAAGUUGGGAGGAAGGGCAGUAAGCUAAUACCUUGCUGUUUUGACGUUACCGACAGAAUAAGCACCGGCUAACUCUGUGCCAGCAGCCGCGGUAAUACAGAGGGUGCAAGCGUUAAUCGGAAUUACUGGGCGUAAAGCGCGCGUAGGUGGUUUGUUAAGUUGGAUGUGAAAGCCCCGGGCUCAACCUGGGAACUGCAUCCAAAACUGGCAAGCUAGAGUACGGUAGAGGGUGGUGGAAUUUCCUGUGUAGCGGUGAAAUGCGUAGAUAUAGGAAGGAACACCAGUGGCGAAGGCGACCACCUGGACUGAUACUGACACUGAGGUGCGAAAGCGUGGGGAGCAAAUAGGAUUAGAUACCCUGGUAGUCCACGCCGUAAACGAUGUCAACUAGCCGUUGGAAUCCUUGAGAUUUUAGUGGCGCAG